GGUAUAUGACUUUUAAUAAAUUUUUAAAGAAUUUUUAUCAAAUCUUACGAGUACUCAUAAAAUGAGGAUUUAGGAUUUCGAUUCUCGUUUCAGUCAGACCUAUUUUAACUCAAGUGUUUGGCGAGAGAAACUGAGAGAAACCACAAGAAAAGAAAAUAAUGAGAGGAAAGGAGAGAAACAUCUGCAAUAGAUCUUUGCAAGUCCUAAAGUUAAUUUCUUAAACUCAUUUCUUACACCAGCUAUCGUCUUUCCAACUGAAAAUACAUUUACACUUUGAUGCCUCUUUACAUGCUAUAGAUAUUAUGCUCUUAAAAACCAGUAAGCAACCGAGAAUUGCCUUUCUGAUCACUACCUAAUUUCUUGUGAAAUCCCAAUUAUAGAUUACACAGAAAGAGCUGAAUAUACAAUAAAAAUAUUAACAAGAGGAUCUUAUUCAGUAGGCCUAAAAGUUGAGUGUUUAUUUACAAUUAUAAUCUUAGCAGAAAAUAAAGAUGAGAUGACAAACUUGUGAAAAUCACCUUCCAUGUUAGCUGUACAAAAAUUCUCUCCUUUUUGCUGUCUUUCAGCUGCGGCAAAGAAAAAAAAAAGGCCUUCCAUGUUUCUAGUUAAAGUGCCUUGUGAGCAGAAGAGGAUGCGAGUCCUAUGCGUCUUUCUCCAGUGGCAAUGAGCUUCUCGACACGAGAAACUAUAUGUUUACCAAAAGUGUAACGCUUCAGCGCAUUUAAGUGAACUUUGAUACGAGAAAGAAUUAACUCAAGAUUCCGAUCAUCACAGGUCUCAAGAACUUUUUGCACAACAUAAUUUCCAAAUGGAUCUUUCAUCAUGGCCUGCAAGGGCUCAUUUUCAUCAGUGGAACCAAGCAUCUCAUUCACUAAAAUUUGACGCUCCUCAGGACCACCAAAAGUUAGGCACUUCUCCACAACAUUAGAAGCAAAUUUCUGCUGACUCAUAUUUACAAUUUGUCCUGCAAGCUUGCUAAUAAUAGCAGAUCGUUCGUGUGGUUUGCCAUGUUCAAGGACAUGCUGAAUAACAUAAUUCCCAUACUGAUCUUGUGCCAGAAUGCAAACAGACUGCAUAAUCUCAUCCAUAAUAAUGUGCUGAGUAUUCAUGUUCUUACAGUGUUCCAGGACCCUCUGAAUGACGCGACAGCCAUAAGGAUGGGUGGAAAGUGCUAGAACUUGUCCAUAGAAAGCUGAGAUAAUAAACUGAAUUCGAACUUCAGGUACACACUCUAUGCACUUCUGAAUAACAUGAUUACCAUUCUGAUCACGAACACAUUUCAUAACUGAACCAUCAAGCUCUGCCACCAUUUGAGUCUGCUGAUCCACAUCAACCACCUCCAAGGCCUUCUGAAUUACUCUGCACCCAUACAUUUGAAGGCUGAGAGGUAAAACAUGACCAGUAAGCUGGCUGGCUAACUCUGUUCUUUGACAUUCUGUACCAUGCUCAAAAAAUUUCUGUAUGACGUAAUUUCCAAACACAUCUGUCAUCAAGGUGCGAGAAUGAGGGAUAAUUUCAGGGAAUAUCUUGUUCUUUUCUUCCACCGUAGCAGUUUCUAGUUUCUGCUGAAUGAAGCGACUCCCAUACUGAUCCGUACUGAAUUCAACAACAUGAUCAACAAUGUCUGAGAGUUCAAAAGACCUGGUCUUGUUCUUGAACUCAUCUAGUAAGGAUGACGCAUAUCUUCUUUCCACGUUGUUGCCAAUAUCAGAGUGCCAUGGCCCAAUGGAUCCUCCCAUUGAGUUUCUCACCAUAGAAGUAAAGUGUGCAACUCGCUCAUCCUGAAAAUUUCCAGAUCCAACAGAAGGAAGCACAGAGUUUGCCAUUGAAUUCCCCAGAUAUGGGCCAUAUGGCAUGCCGAGACCAUAUGGUGAAUUCCUAUGGUAACCCUGAUUCAAACUGCCAGACUUAACCAGUGCAGGCUCAUAUUGUUGUUUUUGUUGAGCAAGCAAUGCUUCAAGGUAUGCUUUCUGAAUCCCAUCCAAGUCUCCAUGUGAAGUUGCAAAAAGGUUUCUAACCUGGGGAUCAUUUGUAUGCGUUGCAUAAUCAGAAGUUCUUCGCAAGUUCUGAAUAUAAAGCGAGUCCAUAACCGGAGAAUGAGGAUCAAGCCCUGCUUGGUUUCCUGCUCUAUUCAAACUGUGCUCAAUUCCAUAACCACCUAAAGCUGAACCUGCAUCAAGAUGGUUUUUGAGCGCUGUAUCCCGCUUCUGAUUGAUGGGGUAGGCACCAGGUACGUGGCUGACAAAAUCCAUACUAACAGUAUUUGCAUUUUGCUGAUGACCAUUUGAUCUUUCCAAACCUCCAAUGCCUGAGGAAUUCACUUUUGAGUGAAGAUUUGCAAAAGAAGAAGUUCUUUUGGGAAUACUAACCUCCCCGUGAGAAUUAAACUCAGAAGUGUCCAGGUUUGGCAGGACCCUGUUUUUCCUUGCUACAUCAAUGUAGUUGGUAGAAAAUGCGAGAUUUUCUGCAUUGGAUUUUUCUAUGAGUUGUUGCUGCAGACGAUUAUGACCACUGGAUGUAUUGAAAAGAAAAUCCUGCUGCUUGGUCAGAUCUACAAGACUAUCCUGCUCUGCAUGCCUAAUCUUUGAUAGGUUUAAACCAGACAAAGUAGCCACAAUCUCACCAAGCUCAGUUAUGCCAGAAGAAUGACCAUUUGGGGCAGUAGGGCCAACAAUAUUCUUUUUCUCAAGAUGGCCAACUCUGCUCCCCACAGGAGGAAGACCAGAACUAGGAGACCUCCCAACUAGCUGCUGUUCAGGUGUUGUACUUCUUGACAGUGAUGAACCGAGAGCAGAUGAGAACGAAUGAGAAACAGCUGCUCCAUGGCUUUGAACUCCUACCAAGCCAGGAGAAGCAGAUCCAGAACGUAAGCCCUCUAAGGACUCCAAUCCACCACAUAACCCAGGUUGAUGAUCACAUAUCCCAGUUGCGCCCAGGAGAUCACCAAAAGCAUUAUGACUGGCUGGGCGUGAUAGGUGGCCUGAUAAAGAAGCAGGUCUAUCAAGUCCUUCCUGAAGAAUGUCAGCAAAACUCUUCCUCCUCCCACCAAGCCCAACACCCUGCAAUCCAGUUAAACCACCUGAGCACCUAUCAAGCCACUCGGCUGAGUUCUGCAUAGAGAAAUUAUUUCUAUUGGCAUUCUUUAAAUCCAUCAAAUCAUUCUCCAGCUUCUGUACAGAAUUUCCUGGCUGCGUCGAAAAAAGUGAUGAACCAUUGCCCUCAUCAACCAACUUCUUCCUCCUCAAGUCCCCAGUGCCUCCACGCAAAGACCCACCAGCCUGAAACCUUUGGGCAACACGCCAAUCCUCUUUUGACAGCAAUGGUGGGGGUAGUCUCGGAUUUAUGCUAUGAUGAGAAUAAUAAUAUGAAAGAUAUGCUGGAUGUGUGCGAAUCUCAUCAUCAGUCAGAACUAAAUUAUUACCGCUACUAUUCCUAAUGCUACUAAUAUUACUAAAAUUGGAGUCCUUAAAAAGACUACCCACGGCACUUAAUGAUCCCUCAACAGUUGGUGGAGCACUGCCACUCCUAAAUAUAUUGAGAUCCUUUUCUCGAUCAACUAAAUGCUGAUUCUGCUGUGCUUGCAGUAUCAACUCUAGCUCACUCUGCAAACUAUCUUCUAAAUUACCAUUGGGCCCUUGCAGAUGAUCAUCUAGGCUCAGUCGCAUAUCUAUGUUGCUCCCAGUGACCAUCUUUGAAACUGCAAUUCGCUCCUUCUACACCAAUCUCCACAUCAACUCGUCCAAAGCACAAAAUAAUCAAUCGGAAUCAAAAGCUGAAAAUCCGAAAAGAAUUUUUUUUUUUGUUUUUAGAAAGGUUGAUCAAACGGCGUCGUGUCAGCAAUGGAGAGGAGCUGCUUCAAACUAAAAAUCAAUGCACGUAAAACUUAUAAUAAUUUUUUAUAAAAUGAAAUCCUUGAACAGCAAUUAAGAUAGCAAAAAAAAAGUUCUGAUCGUAGAUAGAGUGAGAAUUAAGAACAGAUUUCCAAGAAUCGAAAAAGAGAGAGAGAAUUUACAGAGCGAACAUGGAGGACGGAGACUAUUGGAAACGGUCACUGCUUGCGCUUUUUUUU
RNAcentral lists this unclassified non-coding RNA (4069 nucleotides) under Hevea brasiliensis (rubber tree). Lineage: Eukaryota; Viridiplantae; Streptophyta; Magnoliopsida; Malpighiales; Euphorbiaceae. The record is from RNAcentral.